This 261-nucleotide ribosomal RNA is filed under the name uncultured Peptococcaceae bacterium. Its description in RNAcentral is "partial 16S ribosomal RNA". It matches the Rfam family "Bacterial small subunit ribosomal RNA", at positions 516 to 776 of the family's 1533-position model. Lineage: Bacteria; Bacillati; Bacillota; Clostridia; Eubacteriales; Peptococcaceae. The record is from RNAcentral.
AAAACAACUACGUAGGGGGCAAGCGUUGUCCGGAAUUAUUGGGCGUAAAGGGCGCGUAGGCGGAUUUUUAAGUCUGGUGUGAAAGAUCAGGGCUCAACCCUGAGAGUGCAUCGGAAACUGGGGAUCUUGAGGACAGGAGAGGAAAGUGGAAUUCCACGUGUAGCGGUGAAAUGCGUAGAUAUGUGGAGGAACACCAGUGGCGAAGGCGGCUCACUGGCUCGAUACUGACGCUGAGGUGCGAAAGUGUGGGGAGCAAACAGG